RNAcentral lists this transfer RNA (76 nucleotides) under Bos taurus (domestic cattle). It matches the Rfam family "tRNA". Rfam says of the family: Transfer RNA (tRNA) molecules are approximately 80 nucleotides in length. Lineage: Eukaryota; Metazoa; Chordata; Mammalia; Artiodactyla; Bovidae. RNAcentral also lists the same sequence under 4 other names. The record is from Rfam by way of RNAcentral.
UCCCUGGUGGCUCAGAUGGUAAAGAAUCUACCUUCAAGGCAGGAGACAGACCCAGGUUCAAUUCCUGGAUAGGGAA